UCGAGUCGGCCUGCGCGGAAGAUGUAACGGGGCUAAACCAUGCACCGAAGCUGCGGCAGCGACACUAUGUGUUGUUGGGUAGGGGAGCGUUCUGUAAGCCUGUGAAGGUGUACUGUGAGGUAUGCUGGAGGUAUCAGAAGUGCGAAUGCUGACAUAAGUAACGAUAAAGCGGGUGAAAAGCCCGCUCGCCGGAAGACCAAGGGUUCCUGUCCAACGUUAAUCGGGGCAGGGU
This 232-nucleotide ribosomal RNA is filed under the name Escherichia coli. RNAcentral describes it as "partial 23S ribosomal RNA". It matches the Rfam family "Bacterial large subunit ribosomal RNA", at positions 1149 to 1380 of the family's 2925-position model. Lineage: Bacteria; Pseudomonadati; Pseudomonadota; Gammaproteobacteria; Enterobacterales; Enterobacteriaceae. The record is from RNAcentral.